GACGAACGCUGGCGGCGUGCCUAAUACAUGCAAGUAGAACGCUGAAGGAGGAGCUUGCUUCUCUGGAUGAGUUGCGAACGGGUGAGUAACGCGUAGGUAACCUGCCUGGUAGCGGGGGAUAACUAUUGGAAACGAUAGCUAAUACCGCAUAAUAGUAGAUGUUGCAUGACAUUUGCUUAAAAGGUGCAAUUGCAUCACUACCAGAUGGACCUGCGUUGUAUUAGCUAGUUGGUGAGGUAACGGCUCACCAAGGCAACGAUACAUAGCCGACCUGAGAGGGGGGGCGGCCACACUGGGACUGAGACACGGCCCAGACUCCUACGGGAGGCAGCAGUAGGGAAUCUUCGGCAAUGGACGGAAGUCUGACCGAGCAACGCCGCGGGAGUGAAGAAGGGUGUCGGAUCGUAAAGCUCGGUUGUAAGAGAAGAACGAGUGUGAGAGUGGAAAGUUCACACUGUGACGGUAUCUUACCAGAAAGGGACGGCUAACUACGUG
RNAcentral lists this ribosomal RNA (495 nucleotides) under uncultured bacterium. Its description in RNAcentral is "partial 16S ribosomal RNA". It matches the Rfam family "Bacterial small subunit ribosomal RNA", at positions 28 to 507 of the family's 1533-position model. The record is from RNAcentral.